GAUGAACGCUGGCGGCGUGCCUAACACAUGCAAGUCGAGCGAUUCUCUUCGGAGAAGAGCGSCGGACGGGUGAGUAACGCGUGGGUAACCYGCCUCAUACACAUGGAUAACAUACCGAAAGGUAUGYUAAUACAGGAUAACAUAAGAGAUUCGCAUGUUUCUCUUAUCAAAGCUCCGGCGGUAUGAGAUGGACCCGCGUCUGAUUAGCUAGUUGGUAAGGUAAUGGCUUACCAAGGCAACGAUCAGUAGCCGACCUGAGAGGGUGAUCGGCCACAUUGGAACUGAGACACGGUCCAAACUCCUACGGGAGGCAGCAGUGGGGAAUAUUGCACAAUGGGCGMAAGCCUGAUGCAGCAACGCCGCGUGAGUGAUGAAGGCCUUCGGGUCGUAAAACUCUGUCCUCAAGGAAGAUAAUGACGGUACUKRAGGAGAARMC
Molecule: ribosomal RNA, 436 nt
Filed under: uncultured bacterium
Lineage: Bacteria
Description: bacterial SSU rRNA
Rfam family: Bacterial small subunit ribosomal RNA
Source: RNAcentral